RNAcentral lists this ribosomal RNA (861 nucleotides) under uncultured bacterium. RNAcentral's name for it is "bacterial SSU rRNA". It matches the Rfam family "Bacterial small subunit ribosomal RNA", at positions 8 to 916 of the family's 1533-position model. The record is from RNAcentral.
AGAGUUUGAUCAUGGCUCAGAGCGAACGCUGGCGGCAGGCCUAACACAUGCAAGUCGAACGGACCCUUCGGGGUUAGUGGCGGACGGGUGAGUAACACGUGGGAACGUGCCUUUAGGUUCGGAAUAGCUCCUGGAAACGGGUGGUAAUGCCGAAUGUGCCCUUCGGGGGAAAGAUUUAUCGCCUUUAGAGCGGCCCGCGUCUGAUUAGCUAGUUGGUGGUGUAACGGACCACCAAGGCGACGAUCAGUAGCUGGUCUGAGAGGAUGAUCAGCCACAUUGGGACUGAGACACGGCCCAAACUCCUACGGGAGGCAGCAGUGGGGAAUCUUGCGCAAUGGGCGAAAGCCUGACGCAGCCAUGCCGCGUGAAUGAUGAAGGUCUUAGGAUUGUAAAAUUCUUUCACCGGGGACGAUAAUGACGGUACCCGGAGAAGAAGCCCCGGCUAACUUCGUGCCAGCAGCCGCGGUAAUACGAAGGGGGCUAGCGUUGCUCGGAAUUACUGGGCGUAAAGGGAGCGUAGGCGGACAUUUAAGUCAGGGGUGAAAUCCCGGGGCUCAACCUCGGAAUUGCCUUUGAUACUGGGUGUCUUGAGUGUGAGAGAGGUAUGUGGAACUCCGAGUGUAGAGGUGAAAUUCGUAGAUAUUCGGAAGAACACCAGUGGCGAAGGCGACAUACUGGCUCAUUACUGACGCUGAGGCUCGAAAGCGUGGGGAGCAAACAGGAUUAGAUACCCUGGUAGUCCACGCCGUAAACGAUGAUUGCUAGUUGUUGGGGAGUUUACUUCUCGGUGACGCAGCUAACGCAUUAAGCAAUCCGCCUGGGGAGUACGGUCGCAAGAUUAAAACUCAAAGGAAUUGACGG